UUACGUCUCCAAUCAUCUAUCGGUCAACACGGAAGGAAAUCUUUGCAAUUUUAUUUACACUUUGUGGCAUAGUACCUGGAAAGUGGAAGUAUAAUUGGUCUGUUUUCGUUGAAACAAACAAAUGAUCUGUUAACAUGAUUCUAAAGAAUUGAUGACACCUCAACAAAAAUACCCACAUAUGAAAUCUUUAAAUCGAACCAAUCUAUUCAAAUAAUGUGGACGUUAUAAUAUCUCGUAUCUCGUGUGUUUAUUUUUUGUUUGGAAUAAACCAGAAUCUCGAAAAUAAAGAUAAUGUCUGAUCUAUACCAGCGAGAAAGCCAAUCGCAUCGUACAUAUAAUGUCCGAUCUAUACCAGCGAGAAAGCCAAUCGCAUCGUACAUAUAAAUGGUAGAGUACAAAUACUUCCCAUGGACCGUAACGCACAGGCUAAAGAUAUGGGAGAUAAUGACAACCCGGGCAAGGCGUGGGCCACCCGACUGCUUGGUGGAAUUGACCAAUAUGAUAAUAACGCAUUAAAACAACAGGAAGAUAAUGACAACACAGGAACAAAAUGGGCUCGUCAUUUUCGUUAUAGUGAUCAGUCCGUUGAAAUGCCACCCGACUUGGACGUUAUAGAGAAAAAGCUGCAACAACCAACCGCUGACCAAACAAUAAAGUCGACAAACAAUAACGCUGAUAUGAAAUCUGGUUCAGAAUGGGCACGUCAAUUUAUUGGUAUCGUUCCACCUGAUAAUACAGCAAAGCAGCGCGAAAUAGAUGACGAUUAUAACCAACACGACACUACUAACAGUCCCGUUAGAACACAACGUGCUAAUGAUGAUAUAAACAUUCAGAGCCAGUCAAAGCAACACAGUUAUAGAGAUCCUGUACAUCAUGAUGGUCAAGUACAUAGUGGCCAUAGCAAGCAAAGAAGAAGCCCAAAGCAACCAUCCAUUGUUGACCGCAAAACGAACCCUAAAGGUCAGGAAGAGAACGGUAAUCCAGGCACAGAAUGGGCCCGUCAAUAUACAUGUAAUGACAAACACUUGAAGUGAUAUGCUACAGCGAAUGAAAAAGGAAGGAAACCUGCAUUGGUUCCUAAAUGAAUAUCAAAUCUCAUCAUGAAAAUGAAAAUGUUUUUUUUUAAUAUAUUACAUUAAAUAAUCUUGUGUCUACUAUAUAAAUAAUAAAAUAACAUAUGAAUGUCUAAAGCAACGUUUUUUAAGUGCUCAUGUACAUUUCUUCUAUACCAAUUAUAUUACUGCAGAUCUUUAAAAUGUUGGAGAAAAAGAGUAAAGGUUCAGAAUUUUACAAGACCACAUGUUUUGCUCAUCAAAAUAAAUGAGUUGUUUCAUUGGCCUUUUUGUAAAAACUUAUCUACAAAAUUUGCUUAGGAUCACUUUUUAUUUUCAGAGUAUCUUCAAUUUUGGAUAACGUUCAUUUUAAAUUGUUAUUUUGCAGGUUUUGAUAUUAGAAUGUGUGUUUUUGAUUUUAUUUUUAUGUAUUGAUUUAUCAUUGAUGCGUGACGCCGACUGAAUCUAGCUAGGGGUGAACUUCAAAUUACAUGUACAAAAAAGUGAUCCUUAGCAAAUUUUGAAUUUAUAUUUGUAAAUAAAUCUAUUCACACUCA
This is a long non-coding RNA of Dreissena polymorpha, 1609 nucleotides long. RefSeq lists it as uncharacterized. Lineage: Eukaryota; Metazoa; Mollusca; Bivalvia; Myida; Dreissenidae. The transcript has 2 exons. The record is from RefSeq and is a predicted model, not a curated record.